AAGUCGUAACAAGGUUUCCGUAGGUGAACCUGCGGAAGGAUCAUUACAACUUAAUGUGAUAUCAUCCACAUCCUACCGUCUUUUCGUGAACUGUAUAUUAAGAGCCGUUUGCGUCGUUGAGGUGGUACUGUCCAGGCGUCUUCUUAGGGAACCCGAUGAGUGUCGGGAGGUUCCCGAGUCUGGGCGGUGCGUACUCCUCUCCGGAGGAGGCCUCUGAUUGCAAGCGCGUGUUACCCUUCCCCACUCUUAACCCAUUUAUUAUCACCUUGCACCUUAUCUCCAUAGAACUGACCUCUCUGGAAGGCUCGCUACUACCAGCGACCUUCUUGCAAGACUAUACGUAAAAGAGAAGAACAACUCUUAACAACGGAUAUCUUGGCUCUC
This 384-nucleotide unclassified non-coding RNA is filed under the name fungal sp. RNAcentral describes it as "partial internal transcribed spacer region". The stretch from base 1 to 46 matches the Rfam family "Eukaryotic small subunit ribosomal RNA", at positions 1786 to 1831 of the family's 1831-position model. Lineage: Eukaryota; Fungi. The record is from RNAcentral.